UACGUAGGCGGUCUGAUAAGUCAGGUGUAAAAGGCAAUGGCUCAACCAUUGUAAGCACUUGAAACUGUUGGACUUGAGUACAGGAGAGGUAAGUGGAAUUCCUAGUGUAGCGGUGAAAUGCGUAGAUAUUAGGAGGACACCAGUGGCGAAGGCGACUUACUGGACUGUAACUGACGCUGAGGUACGAAAGCGUGGGGAGCGAACA
RNAcentral lists this ribosomal RNA (205 nucleotides) under uncultured bacterium. Its description in RNAcentral is "partial 16S ribosomal RNA". It matches the Rfam family "Bacterial small subunit ribosomal RNA", at positions 568 to 774 of the family's 1533-position model. The record is from RNAcentral.